CAAGUUCUAAAUUAAUAGAAGAGUUAAAAGGGCUUCUCCAAUUUUCAAAAUCACCAACUCAGCUUCUCCAAUGUUUUACAAAACCAAAAGACUUUCAUGUAAUAAAACCCAAAAUGGUUACACUCUUCACUAUAAAUACGACCUAAUUUAUGUCAUUUUUGUCGGUUGAUUGUAUAGAAGAGAUGUUCCACUACUUUGACUGUUUAUGCCUAAAUUCAUUAAGACUUUACAAAACUAGCUCUGCU
Molecule: long non-coding RNA, 245 nt
Filed under: Panax ginseng (ginseng)
Lineage: Eukaryota; Viridiplantae; Streptophyta; Magnoliopsida; Apiales; Araliaceae
Description: long non-coding RNA (PGIN_LNC003607)
Source: RNAcentral